Molecule: ribosomal RNA, 253 nt
Filed under: uncultured bacterium
Lineage: Bacteria
Description: partial 16S ribosomal RNA
Rfam family: Bacterial small subunit ribosomal RNA
Source: RNAcentral
UACGAAGGGGGCUAGCGUUGCUCGGAAUCACUGGGCGUAAAGGGUGCGUAGGCGGGUCUUUAAGUCUGCGGUGAAAUCCUGGAGCUCAACUCCAGAACUGCCUUUGAUACUGAAGAUCUUGAGUUCGGGAGAGGUGAGUGGAACUGCGAGUGUAGAGGUGAAAUUCGUAGAUAUUCGCAAGAACACCAGUGGCGAAGGCGGCUCACUGGCCCGAUACUGACGCUGAGGCACGAAAGCGUGGGGAGCAAACAGG